This 468-nucleotide ribosomal RNA is filed under the name uncultured bacterium. RNAcentral describes it as "partial 16S ribosomal RNA". It matches the Rfam family "Bacterial small subunit ribosomal RNA", at positions 28 to 507 of the family's 1533-position model. The record is from RNAcentral.
GACGAACGCUGGCGGCGUGCUUAACACAUGCAAGUCGAACGGAAAGGCCCUGCUUUUGUGGGGGGCUCGAGUGGCGAACGGGUGAGUAACACGUGAGUAACCUGCCCUUGACUUUGGGAUAACUUCAGGAAACUGGGGCUAAUACCGGAUAGGAGCUCCUGCUGCAUGGUGGGGGUUGGAAAGUUUCGGCGGUUGGGGAUGGACUCGCGGCUUAUCAGCUUGUUGGUGGGGUAGUGGCUUACCAAGGCUUUGACGGGUAGCCGGCCUGAGAGGGUGACCGGCCACAUUGGGACUGAGAUACGGCCCAGACUCCUACGGGAGGCAGCAGUGGGGAAUAGUGCACAAUGGGCGGAAGCCUGAUGCAGCAACGCCGCGUGCGGGAUGACGGCCUUCGGGUUGUAAACCGCUUUCGCCUGUGACGAAGCGUGAGUGACGGUAAUGGGUAAAGAAGCACCGGCUAACUACGUG